Molecule: ribosomal RNA, 450 nt
Filed under: uncultured Acaulospora
Lineage: Eukaryota; Fungi; Glomeromycota; Glomeromycetes; Diversisporales; Acaulosporaceae
Description: SSU rRNA
Rfam family: Eukaryotic small subunit ribosomal RNA
Source: RNAcentral
AGCAGCCGCGGUAAUUCCAGCUCCAAUAGCGUAUAUUAAAGUUGUUGCAGUUAAAAAGCUCGUAGUUGAAUUUCGGGGUCUAUCCGUUGGUCGGGCUUUUGGGUCCGUACUGGCGUUAUGGAUUCCUACCUUCUGAAUAACCGGUAUGUCAUUAAUUUGGUGUGCUGGGGAAGCAGGACUGUUACCUUGAAAAAUUAGAGUGCUUAAAGCAGGCUAUCGCCUGAAUACAUUAGCAUGGAAUAAUGAAAUAGGACGGCAUGGUUCUAUUUUGUUGGUUUCUAGGAUCACCGUAAUGAUUAAUAGGGAUAGUUGGGGGCAUUAGUAUUCAAUUGUCAGAGGUGAAAUUCUUGGAUUUAUUGAAGACUAACUUCUGCGAAAGCAUUUGCCAAGGAUGUUUUCAUUAAUCAAGAACGAAAGUUAGGGGAUCGAAGACGAUCAGAUACCGUCGUA